This 135-nucleotide ribosomal RNA is filed under the name uncultured bacterium. RNAcentral describes it as "partial 16S ribosomal RNA". It matches the Rfam family "Bacterial small subunit ribosomal RNA", at positions 355 to 507 of the family's 1533-position model. The record is from RNAcentral.
UCGGGAAUUUUGGGCAAUGGGGGAAACCCUGACCCAGCAACGCCGCGUGAAGGAUGAAGUAUUUCGGUAUGUAAACUUCGAAAGAAUAGGAAGAAUUAAUGACGGUACUAUUUAUAAGGUCCGGCUAACUACGUG